GACCAAGAAGUCUAACAUGUGUGCGAGUCAUUGGGUAUAUUGUUGAAACCUAAGGGCGUAAUUAAAAUAACUAUUUUAUGGGAUUACAAGUGAAUUAAUUUUCAUUUCUUCAUCCCGGGGCGUUCUAUACGAACAUGGUGCAAGCAAUUGAACCCUCUGUUCAAGAGCGUACCUUGAGCAUACAUGCUGUGACCCGAAAGAUGGUGAACUAUACCUGAUCAGAUCGAAGCCAGGAGAAAUUCUGGUGGAGGAUCGAAACAGUUCUGACGUGCAAAUCGAUUGUCAGAAUUGGGUAUAGGGGCGAAAGACCAAUCGAACCAUCUAGUAGCUGGUUCCCUCCGAAGUUUCCCUCAGGAUAGCUGGCGCAAAGAAUUAUAUUGUAUAUAAUCUUAUCUGGUAAAGCGAAUGAUUAGAGGCCUUGGGGCCGAAACGACCUCAACCUAUUCUCAAACUUUAAAUGGGUAAGAACCUCAUCUUUCUUGAUCUGAAGAUAUUGGGGUUUAGAUAUAUUGUGCCCAGUGGGCCACUUUUGGUAAGCAGAACUGGCGCUGUGGGAUGAACCAAACAUGAUGUUACGGCGCCUAAAUUAAUGACUCAUAUUGAUACCAUGAAAGGCGUUGGUUGCUUAAAACAGCAGGACGGUGGACAUGGAAGUCGUAAUCCGCUAAGGAGUGUGUAACAACUCACCUGCCGAAGCAACUAGCCCUUAAAAUGGAUGGCGCUCAAGUCAUAUGCCUAUACAUCAUCGCUAGAAUAAAAAUUGUUGGCCAUUUUGGUCAUCAUUAUGAAAUUCUAGUGAGUAGGAGGGUACAAUGGUGUGCGCAGAAGUGUUUGGCGUGAGCCUGCAUGAAGCCGCCAUUGGCACAGAUCUUGGUGGUAGUAGCAAAUAAUCGAAUGAGAUCUUGGAGGACUGAAGUGGAGAAGGGUUUCGUGUGAACAGUGGUUGAUCACGAGUUAGUCGGUCCUAAGCUUUAUGCGAAAGCUGUUUAAUUUAUGUUACACAGAAAAUUUUUGUUGUACAUAAUUCAAUAAAAGCGAAAGGGAAUACGGUUCCAAUUCCGUAACCUGUUGAGUAUACGUUUGUUUAUUAAAAAUGGGUCUUAUUACACUCAUCCUGGCAACAGGAACGACCAUAGAGAAGCCUUCGAGAGACACUGGAAGAGUUUUCUUUUCUGCUAAACAAGCGUAUCACCAUGGAAGUCUUUUAUAGAGAGAUAUGGUGAAUGGCUUGGAAGAGCAUGACAUUUACUGUUGUGUCAGUGUUUUCUCCUUGGACCUUGAAAAUCUAUGGUGGGGCCACGCAAACUUCUCAACAGACCGUACCGAUAUCCGCAG
RNAcentral lists this ribosomal RNA (1335 nucleotides) under Spinopygina peltata. RNAcentral describes it as "partial large subunit ribosomal RNA". It matches the Rfam family "Eukaryotic large subunit ribosomal RNA", at positions 664 to 1859 of the family's 3401-position model. The record is from RNAcentral. Lineage: Eukaryota; Metazoa; Arthropoda; Insecta; Diptera; Sciaridae.